Molecule: ribosomal RNA, 424 nt
Filed under: uncultured cyanobacterium
Lineage: Bacteria; Bacillati; Cyanobacteriota
Description: bacterial SSU rRNA
Rfam family: Bacterial small subunit ribosomal RNA
Source: RNAcentral
GGGGAAUUUUCCGCAAUGGGCGAAAGCCUGACGGAGCAAUACCGCGUGAGGGAGGAAGGCUUUUGGGUUGUAAACCUCUUUUCUUAAGGAAGAAGAUCUGACGGUACUUAAGGAAUCAGCAUCGGCUAACUCCGUGCCAGCAGCCGCGGUAAUACGGAGGAUGCAAGCGUUAUCCGGAAUUAUUGGGCGUAAAGCGUCCGCAGGUGGCCUUUCAAGUCUGCUGUCAAAGACCAGAGCUCAACUCUGGGCCGGCGGUGGAAACUGGGAGGCUAGAGUACGGUAGGGGUAGAGGGAAUUCCCAGUGUAGCGGUGAAAUGCGUAGAGAUUGGGAAGAACACCAGUGGCGAAGGCGCUCUACUGGACCGAAACUGACACUCAGGGACGAAAGCUAGGGGAGCGAAAGGGAUUAGAUACCCCUGUAGUC